UACAGAGGGUGCGAGCGUUAAUCGGAAUUACUGGGCGUAAAGCGUGCGUAGACGGUCAUGUAAGUCGGGUGUGAAAGCCCCGGGCUCAACCUGGGAAUUGCAUUCGAGACUGCAUGGCUAGGAUGCGGAAGAGGGAAGCGGAAUUUCCGGUGUAGCGGUGAAAUGCGUAGAUAUCGGAAGGAACACCAGUGGCGAAAGCGGCUUCCUGGUCCAGCAUCGACGUUCAGGCACGAAAGCGUGGGGAGCAAAC
Molecule: ribosomal RNA, 250 nt
Filed under: uncultured bacterium
Lineage: Bacteria
Description: partial 16S ribosomal RNA
Rfam family: Bacterial small subunit ribosomal RNA
Source: RNAcentral